AAUCAACGCUGGCGGCAUGCCUAACACAUGCAAGUCGAGCGAGAAAGGGUAGCAAUACCUGAGUAAAGCGGCGCACGGGUGAGUAACACGUGGAUAACCUGCCUCAAAGUGGGGAAUAACACCGGGAAACCGGUGCUAAUACCGCAUAUUCUGACGAGAUCUGUGGAUUUUGUCAGGAAAGGAGCAAUUCGCUAUGAGAGGGGUCCGCGGCUGAUUAGCUAGUUGGUGAGGUAAUGGCUCACCAAGGCUUCGAUCAGUAGCCGGUCUGAGAGGACGGUCGGCCACACUGGAACUGAGACACGGUCCAGACUCCUACGGGAGGCAGCAGUGGGGAAUUUUUCGCAAUGGGGGCAACCCUGACGAAGCAAUGCCGCGUGGAUGAUGAAGUAUCUCGGUACGUAAAAUCCUUUCGACGGGGACGAAGCCGCAAGGUUGACGGUACCCGUAGAAGAAGCCCCGGCUAACUCCGUGCCAGCAGCCGCGGUAAUACGGGGGGGGCAAGCGUUGUUCGGAAUUACUGGGCGUAAAGGGUGCGUAGGCGGCUUUGCAAGUCGAUUGUGAAAUCCCCGGGCUUAACC
RNAcentral lists this ribosomal RNA (578 nucleotides) under uncultured Acidobacteriota bacterium. Its description in RNAcentral is "bacterial SSU rRNA". It matches the Rfam family "Bacterial small subunit ribosomal RNA", at positions 28 to 614 of the family's 1533-position model. Lineage: Bacteria; Pseudomonadati; Acidobacteriota. The record is from RNAcentral.